GACGUAGGGCGCGAGCGUUGUCCGGAUUUAUUGGGCGUAAAGAGCUCGUAGGCGGCUUGUCGCGUCGUUCGUGAAAACCCACAGCUCAACUGUGGGCUUGCGGUCGAUACGGGCAGGCUGGAGUUCGGUAGGGGAGACUGGAAUUCCUGGUGUAGCGGUGAAAUGCGCAGAUAUCAGGAGGAACACCGGUGGCGAAGGCGGGUCUCUGGGCCGAUACUGACGCUGAGGCGCGAAAGCCAGGGGAGCAAACGGG
This 253-nucleotide ribosomal RNA is filed under the name uncultured bacterium. RNAcentral describes it as "partial 16S ribosomal RNA". It matches the Rfam family "Bacterial small subunit ribosomal RNA", at positions 524 to 776 of the family's 1533-position model. The record is from RNAcentral.